GAUGAACGCUGGCGGCGUGCCUAAUACAUGCAAGUCGAGCGAACAGACGCGAAGCUUGCUGCGCGGAUGUUUGCGGCGGGCGUGUGUGUAACACGAGUAUCACCUACCUAUAAGAGUGGUAACACUUCGGGAAACCUGCGCAUAUACCGGAUGAUCUGUUGAACCCCAUGGGGCAGAUGGGAAAGACGGUCUUGCUGUGGCUUAUGCAUGGGUCCGUGCUGCAUUAGCUAGUGGGUAAGGUAAAGGCUUACCAUGGCAACGAUGCAUAGCCGAACUGAGAGGGUGAUAGGCCACACUGGAACUGAGACACGGUCAAGAGGCCUACGGGAGGCAGCAGUAGGGAAUCUGCCGCAAUGGGCGAAAGCCUGACGGAGCAACGCCGCGUGAGUGAUGAAGGUCUUCGGAUCGUAAAACUCUGUUAUUAGGGAAGAAAAUAUGUGUAAGUAACUGUGCACAUCGUGACGGUACCUAAUCAGAAAGCCACGGCUAACUACGUG
RNAcentral lists this ribosomal RNA (497 nucleotides) under uncultured bacterium. RNAcentral's name for it is "partial 16S ribosomal RNA". It matches the Rfam family "Bacterial small subunit ribosomal RNA", at positions 28 to 507 of the family's 1533-position model. The record is from RNAcentral.